This is a long non-coding RNA of Amphimedon queenslandica, 649 nucleotides long. RefSeq lists it as uncharacterized. NCBI's taxonomy places the organism in Eukaryota, Metazoa, Porifera, Demospongiae, Haplosclerida, Niphatidae. The record is from RefSeq and is a predicted model, not a curated record. The transcript has 4 exons.
GUAUACAAUUCUUGUAAUGUAGGAAGACCCAUCAACGCCAGUUGGCUGCACUUCAGCAGUUAUUCUACUAGAUGUACAUGUACAUGCAUGUAUUUACUUAGUUUUUUUUUACUUUUUACUGUCUAGCACUGAUUUCGACAAGUUAGUGAAGAAGUUGCAAGCUCAAGUGAAGGAUCUUAAUCGAAGGAUUGAUGAAGAAACAUGCCAUAAAGAUGAACAGCAUCAACUGGCAGCUAAAGCAGAGAAAUCUGCCAACGCCCUCACUGUUGAGUUGAAGAUCUACGUAGCAGCACUGAACAAUUGCAACGUCAGUUCAAAUUGGCAGAUGCUGAGAGGGUGGAAUUACAGGAUUGUUUGAGUGAGUUCCAAUCAUCAAUGGUGAGUCUCCAAACUAGCUAGAGGAAAGCCAAGCAGCAGCUGUCUUUUCUACAGGAGGAGCACGAGGAACUGGAGACUGAGAGUCAUGAGAAUGCGAGAAACUCUGCAAGGCAAUGGAACAAGUUUCCCAUCUCGAUGACUACUAAACUUGAAGAGGAAAUGUCUAUGGCUGUUAAAGCAGCUAAGAGAGGGGCAGCAGAGGGUUACUGACUUAGAAAUGGAGUUGGAGACUGAAACCAAAAGCAGGAGUGACGCCCAGAAGAAUUUUAAG